Molecule: ribosomal RNA, 1411 nt
Filed under: Klebsiella pneumoniae
Lineage: Bacteria; Pseudomonadati; Pseudomonadota; Gammaproteobacteria; Enterobacterales; Enterobacteriaceae
Description: bacterial SSU rRNA
Rfam family: Bacterial small subunit ribosomal RNA
Source: RNAcentral
UCAGAUUGAACGCUGGCGGCAGGCCUAACACAUGCAAGUCGAGCGGUAGCACAGAGAGCUUGCUCUCGGGUGACGAGCGGCGGACGGGUGAGUAAUGUCUGGGAAACUGCCUGAUGGAGGGGGAUAACUACUGGAAACGGUAGCUAAUACCGCAUAACGUCGCAAGACCAAAGUGGGGGACCUUCGGGCCUCAUGCCAUCAGAUGUGCCCAGAUGGGAUUAGCUGGUAGGUGGGGUAACGGCUCACCUAGGCGACGAUCCCUAGCUGGUCUGAGAGGAUGACCAGCCACACUGGAACUGAGACACGGUCCAGACUCCUACGGGAGGCAGCAGUGGGGAAUAUUGCACAAUGGGCGCAAGCCUGAUGCAGCCAUGCCGCGUGUGUGAAGAAGGCCUUCGGGUUGUAAAGCACUUUCAGCGGGGAGGAAGGCGGUAAGGUUAAUAACCUUGUCGAUUGACGUUACCCGCAGAAGAAGCACCGGCUAACUCCGUGCCAGCAGCCGCGGUAAUACGGAGGGUGCAAGCGUUAAUCGGAAUUACUGGGCGUAAAGCGCACGCAGGCGGUCUGUCAAGUCGGAUGUGAAAUCCCCGGGCUCAACCUGGGAACUGCAUUCGAAACUGGCAGGCUAGAGUCUUGUAGAGGGGGGUAGAAUUCCAGGUGUAGCGGUGAAAUGCGUAGAGAUCUGGAGGAAUACCGGUGGCGAAGGCGGCCCCCUGGACAAAGACUGACGCUCAGGUGCGAAAGCGUGGGGAGCAAACAGGAUUAGAUACCCUGGUAGUCCACGCUGUAAACGAUGUCGAUUUGGAGGUUGUGCCCUUGAGGCGUGGCUUCCGGAGCUAACGCGUUAAAUCGACCGCCUGGGGAGUACGGCCGCAAGGUUAAAACUCAAAUGAAUUGACGGGGGCCCGCACAAGCGGUGGAGCAUGUGGUUUAAUUCGAUGCAACGCGAAGAACCUUACCUGGUCUUGACAUCCACAGAACUUUCCAGAGAUGGAUUGGUGCCUUCGGGAACUGUGAGACAGGUGCUGCAUGGCUGUCGUCAGCUCGUGUUGUGAAAUGUUGGGUUAAGUCCCGCAACGAGCGCAACCCUUAUCCUUUGUUGCCAGCGGUUAGGCCGGGAACUCAAAGGAGACUGCCAGUGAUAAACUGGAGGAAGGUGGGGAUGACGUCAAGUCAUCAUGGCCCUUACGACCAGGGCUACACACGUGCUACAAUGGCAUAUACAAAGAGAAGCGACCUCGCGAGAGCAAGCGGACCUCAUAAAGUAUGUCGUAGUCCGGAUUGGAGUCUGCAACUCGACUCCAUGAAGUCGGAAUCGCUAGUAAUCGUAGAUCAGAAUGCUACGGUGAAUACGUUCCCGGGCCUUGUACACACCGCCCGUCACACCAUGGGAGUGGGUUGCAAAAGAAGU